AAGACUGUGCUUCACAGGAUCAUUUCUGUAGGCAAGUUUUCACCACAAGUUUUUACCGAAAGGAAAAGCUUUCCCACCCACGAUGAUGAGACAUAGUGGCCAGCUUGGAGCGUGAAACUUGGUUCGGCUAUGCCCAUUCGAUUUAUUCGGACAGGCACCGGACUUCUGAUGAUCGGCUUCCUUGCAUAAUAGCUGGCCGCGGUCUGAGUGGU
Molecule: non-coding RNA, 212 nt
Organism: Aedes aegypti (yellow fever mosquito)
Lineage: Eukaryota; Metazoa; Arthropoda; Insecta; Diptera; Culicidae
Source: Rfam